This 73-nucleotide transfer RNA is filed under the name Trichonephila inaurata madagascariensis. It matches the Rfam family "tRNA". From Rfam's summary of the family: Transfer RNA (tRNA) molecules are approximately 80 nucleotides in length. Their secondary structure includes four short double-helical elements and three loops (D, anti-codon, and T loops). Further hydrogen bonds mediate the characteristic L-shaped molecular structure. tRNAs have two regions of fundamental functional importance: the anti-codon, which is responsible for specific mRNA codon recognition, and the 3' end, to which the tRNAs corresponding amino acid is attached (by aminoacyl-tRNA synthetases). tRNAs cope with the degeneracy of the genetic code in two manners: having more than one tRNA (with a specific anti-codon) for a particular amino acid; and 'wobble' base-pairing, i.e. permitting non-standard base-pairing at the 3rd anti-codon position. The record is from Rfam by way of RNAcentral. Lineage: Eukaryota; Metazoa; Arthropoda; Arachnida; Araneae; Nephilidae.
GGUUCCGUAGUGUAGUGGUUAUCACGUUCGCUUCACACGCGAAAGUUCUCCGGUUCGAUCCCGGACGGAACCA